AUGCUUGUCUCAAAGAUUAAGCCAUGCAUGUCUAAGUAUAAACAAAUUUGUACUGUGAAACUGCGAAUGGCUCAUUAAAUCAGUUAUAGUUUAUUUGAUGGUACAUUACUACAUGGAUAACUGUGGUAAUUCUAGAGCUAAUACAUGCGUUAAAAUCCCGACUUACGAAGGGAUGUAUUUAUUAGAUACAAAACCAAUUCGUGGCAACACGAUAUUGGUGAGUCAUAAUAACUUUUCGAAUCGCAUGGCCUUGAGCCGGCGAUGCAUCAUUCAAAUAUCUGCCCUAUCAACUUUGGAUGGUAGGAUAGAGGCCUACCAUGGUUUUAACGGGUAACGGGGAAUAAGGGUUCGAUUCCGGAGAGGGAGCCUGAGAAACGGCUACCACAUCCAAGGAAGGCAGCAGGCGCGCAAAUUACCCAAUCCCGACACGGGGAGGUAGUGACAAUAUGUAACAAUAUACGGCCUUUAGGUCGUAUAAUUGGAAUGAGUACAAUUUAAAUACCUUAACG
Molecule: ribosomal RNA, 509 nt
Filed under: uncultured fungus
Lineage: Eukaryota; Fungi
Description: SSU rRNA
Rfam family: Eukaryotic small subunit ribosomal RNA
Source: RNAcentral